This 513-nucleotide ribosomal RNA is filed under the name uncultured bacterium. RNAcentral's name for it is "partial 16S ribosomal RNA". It matches the Rfam family "Bacterial small subunit ribosomal RNA", at positions 29 to 523 of the family's 1533-position model. The record is from RNAcentral.
AACGAACGUUAGCGGCGCGCCUAAGACAUGCAAGUCGAGCGAGAAAGGGAUUCGUCCCCGGUAAAGCGGCGCACGGGUGAGUAACACGUAGGUAAUCAACCCUCGAGUGGUGGACAACUCUCCGAAAGGAGAGCUAAUACAGCAUGACGUGGCGGUCUUCCGAGAUCGUUUCCAAAGCGGGCCUCUUCAUGAAAGCUCGCGCUCGAGGAUGAGCCUGCGGCCCAUCAGCUAGUGGGCGGGGUAACAGCCCACCAAGGCAUAGACGGCUAGCUGGUCGGCGAGGAUGAACAGCCACACUGGAACUCAGACCCGGUCCAGACUCCUACGGGAGGCAGCAGUCGGGAAUCUUCCGCAAUGGGCGAAAGCCUGACGGAGCGACGCCGCGUGAGUGAUGAAGGCCUUCGGGUUGUAAAGCUCUGUGGGGAGGGAAGAAUAAGUUCAAGCGAAUACCUUGAAUGAUGACGGUACCUCCUUAGCAAGCACCGGCUAACUCUGUGCCAGCCGCCGCAGUAA